CCCAGCUUGCUGGGGGGAUUAGUGGCGAACGGGUGAGUAACACGUGAGUAACCUGCCCUUGACUCUGGGAUAAGCCUGGGAAACUGGGUCUAAUACUGGAUACGACUCUUCACCGCAUGGUGGGGGGUGGAAAGCUUUUGUGGUUUUGGAUGGACUCGCGGCCUAUCAGCUUGUUGGUGGGGUAAUGGCCUACCAAGGCGACGACGGGUAGCCGGCCUGAGAGGGUGGACGGCCACACUGGGACUGAGACACGGCCCAGACUCCUACGGGAGGCAGCAGUGGGGAAUAUUGCACAAUGGGCGCAAGCCUGAUGCAGCGACGCCGCGUGAGGGAUGAAGGCCUUCGGGUUGUAAACCUCUUUCAGUAGGGAAGAAGCGAAAGUGACGGUACCUGCAGAAGAAGCGCCGGCUAACUACGUGCCAGCAGCCGCGGUAAUACGUAGGGCGCAAGCGUUAUCCGGAAUUAUUGGGCGUAAAGAGCUCGUAGGCGGUUUGUCGCGUCUGCCGUGAAAGUCCGGGGCUUAACUCCGGAUCUGCGGUGGGUACGGGCAGACUUGAGUGAUGUAGGGGAGACUGGAAUUCCUGGUGUAGCGGUGAAAUGCGCAGAUAUCAGGAGGAACACCGAUGGCGAAGGCAGGUCUCUGGGCAUUAACUGACG
This 657-nucleotide ribosomal RNA is filed under the name bacterium. RNAcentral describes it as "bacterial SSU rRNA". It matches the Rfam family "Bacterial small subunit ribosomal RNA", at positions 74 to 745 of the family's 1533-position model. The record is from RNAcentral.